UAAAAACCCUGGCAGUGAGGAAUCUAUUCACAUGUGCUCGUCGACUUCUCCCUCCACAGAAGAAUGAGGAAUCAUCGGAAGAUCUGAUCAAGUACCCAUGGAGUACUAUACAAUCGGGGACUCCAUGUCAGGACAGGCAGCAGCAGGAUUCCAUCUAAUCAGCGUGAAAAGUGCCCACCAACGUUGCAGACCAGAGGCUGAGCAGGAAGCCCGCUGGUAUUCCAGGGAGAAAAGAAGACAAAUAAUGACUAAAGCGCACAGAACCAUUGUGUCAGCGUGCUGUUGCAGUUGGAAGUCAAAACUCUCUCCCAGGAUGCAACUCGUUCGUCCAUUCAACUGGUUAAUACAGUGUUAAUAAAUAUGUCGUGGAGGCGGUAUAUGUCACUUCACUUGAGCGGUCAGGCUGUUUCUGCACACCUUUUGCAUGCCACAAUGUAUUCACUGGGGUAUUGUGACGUUGAUUGAGGUCUCGGGAAAAGAGUCAAGAGCACCGCAGCACGGCACAAUGUAGGAAGUUUAAGAGGGUGCGUGCCAAAGAUAAGGAGCGAGCUUUGUCUUUAAAGUAGGUCUAUUGUUCAAAUUUGAGUUCCUCCUUUAAACACUAACGGAUGCUUUUGCAAAUAUUUCUCUCUCUGUGUAGAAAUAUGAUCAUUAUGACUUGUAUUUGCCGACAUCGGCUCCUGCAAUCCACUCAAAUCAAGGCUCCAUGAAAGAUUGAUGUCUCUUCACUAACUAUAUUCACGUUUAAAGCAACAUCACAAAACGUGUUUCUGGUUUCAUGUCUUCAUGUCGCGAUGCAUCAAUUGAGAAUGACGGAUGAAUCUCUCACCUUGGCCCAGUUCCCUCCCCCGUCCUUCUUCGCCCCAACAGACUUCGCAAACCGACCAAGGAGAGAUGGAAAAACAAAACGCACCCCUAUAGAGCCGUGGGAGACAGAUAAAGAACGUGUGCAUUCCAGAGUGAAUAAUGAACACGAUGACAAUAUGCACAAGAAUGCAGAUAAAUUCCAAUCACCCAAAAUC
Gasterosteus aculeatus aculeatus (three-spined stickleback) is the source of this 1022-nucleotide long non-coding RNA. The record is from Ensembl. Lineage: Eukaryota; Metazoa; Chordata; Actinopteri; Perciformes; Gasterosteidae.